GAAAUGUGGUGACCAAAAAGAAGCCGCUAACUUCUAUUUUUAACGGUUUAAAUCCGUUUACAUUUCU
This 67-nucleotide transfer RNA is filed under the name unidentified. Its description in RNAcentral is "Peltoperlopsis sagittata tRNA-Ser". The record is from RNAcentral.